This is a non-coding RNA of Sturnus vulgaris (Common starling), 216 nucleotides long. The record is from RefSeq and is a predicted model, not a curated record. Lineage: Eukaryota; Metazoa; Chordata; Aves; Passeriformes; Sturnidae.
GCAGAGCGUUAUGAGUCAGGUUACUCCUGCUCAAGUCCAUCAAACUUUGAGACUGGUUGAAUGGAAGAAGACUAAAGUCUCUUGGCCGUUCUCUACCCAUGGAAAGAAAAGGGCACUCAGCAAAUACUGCUGUGUGAUUUGAGGUGCUUCUUUCUUUCCUCCAUUUAUUGUUUCUUUGCUUUACUUGAUAUGCCCAGCUGCACACACGCUGGUUUU